This 496-nucleotide ribosomal RNA is filed under the name uncultured bacterium. RNAcentral's name for it is "partial 16S ribosomal RNA". It matches the Rfam family "Bacterial small subunit ribosomal RNA", at positions 29 to 507 of the family's 1533-position model. The record is from RNAcentral.
GCGAACGCUGGCGGCGUGCCUAAUACAUGCAAGUUGAGCGCUGAAGGUUGGUACUUGUACCAACUGGAUGAGCAGCGAACGGGUGAGUAACGCGUGGGGAAUCUGCCUUUGAGCGGGGGACAACAUUUGGAAACGAAUGCUAAUACCGCAUAAAAACUUUAAACACAAGUUUUAAGUUUGAAAGAUGCAAUUGCAUCACUCAAAGAUGAUCCCGCGUUGUAUUAGCUAGUUGGUGAGGUAAAGGCUCACCAAGGCGAUGAUACAUAGCCGACCUGAGAGGGUGAUCGGCCACAUUGGGACUGAGACACGGCCCAAACUCCUACGGGAGGCAGCAGUAGGGAAUCUUCGGCAAUGGACGAAAGUCUGACCGAGCAACGCCGCGUGAGUGAAGAAGGUUUUCGGAUCGUAAAACUCUGUUGGUAGAGAAGAACGUUGGUGAGAGUGGAAAGCUCAUCAAGUGACGGUAACUACCCAGAAAGGGACGGCUAACUACGUG